RNAcentral lists this long non-coding RNA (511 nucleotides) under Panax ginseng (ginseng). Its description in RNAcentral is "long non-coding RNA (PGIN_LNC011262)". Lineage: Eukaryota; Viridiplantae; Streptophyta; Magnoliopsida; Apiales; Araliaceae. The record is from RNAcentral.
GUGAUUAGACUAUGUGCUGACUAUAAUAGACAGUACUAUGUGUUAUGAUAUAUUAUUCUAAUCGAACGAAUGAUCUGAUUAUUGAUAGGUUGUGAUAAAAGAGAUAGAAUCUAAGUUGAGAUUUGUAAUAAGCAAAUCAGGCAAGUAUCUUACCUUUGCAUUUCCUUUAUGCAAUGGACAUGAGUAAAAAGUUUCAGGAUUAUUCAAUUCCUGUACAGAUUAUGUACGCUUUGAUUAUCAACAUGUUAGCUCAGAUAUAUAUUCUGUUAAGUUGAUUUCUAAAUGGUUAUACAAGUGUCCCCAUUUGGAUAAUCAUGGCAUUUAUUCACAUGUUGAUACACUUUUUCAAUUACCCAUAUAUAUAUAUAUAUAUAUGUUGAAUUACAUAUUAUUGUUGAGCAAGAUUAAAAACCUUAGGGUUUGGAACCAGGCAUGUAUGAACAUCCCUAUAUGGAAAAAUUUUUGCGCCCGAGGCGGAUAGAGUGAACGAUGAAUCGUCGUUCAGGUUAUG